This 264-nucleotide unclassified non-coding RNA is filed under the name uncultured Trichoderma. Its description in RNAcentral is "partial contains 5.8S ribosomal RNA, internal transcribed spacer 2, and large subunit ribosomal RNA". The stretch from base 1 to 52 matches the Rfam family "5.8S ribosomal RNA", at positions 103 to 154 of the family's 154-position model. The record is from RNAcentral. Lineage: Eukaryota; Fungi; Ascomycota; Sordariomycetes; Hypocreales; Hypocreaceae.
AACGCACAUUGCGCCCGCCAGUACUCUGGCGGGCAUGCCUGUCCGAGCGUCAUUUCAACCCUCGAGCCCCUCCGGGGGGUCGGCGUUGGGGAUCGGCCCUUUCACGGGGGCCGGCCCCGAAAUGCAGUGGCGGUCUCGCCGCAGCCUCCCCUGCGCAGUAGUUUGCACACUCGCACCGGGAGCGCGGCGCGUCCACGGCCGUUAAACACCCCAAACUUCUGGAAUGUUGACCUCGGAUCAGGUAGGAAUACCCGCUGAACUUAA